AUUGAACGCUGGCGGCAGGCCUAACACAUGCAAGUCGAGCGAGCGGCGGACGGGUGAGUAAUGUAUGGGGACUGCCCGAUAGAGGGGGAUAACUACUGGAAACGGUAGCUAAUACCGCAUACUAUCGGAUAACCCAUAUGGGAUUAGCUAGUAGGGGAGGUAAUGACUAACCUGGGCGACUAUCCCUAGCUGGUCUGAGAGGCUGAUCAGCCACACGGGGACUGAGACACGGCCCAGACUCCUGCGGAGACCGCAGUGGGGAAUAUUUCCGAAUGGGCGCAAGCCUGAUGCAGCCAUGCCGCGUGUAUGAAGAAGGCCCUAGGGUUGUAAAGUACUUUCAGUCGGGAGGCGUUACCGACAGAAGAAGCACCGGCUAACUCCGUGCCAGCAGCCGCGGUAAUUC
This 403-nucleotide ribosomal RNA is filed under the name uncultured bacterium. Its description in RNAcentral is "partial 16S ribosomal RNA". It matches the Rfam family "Bacterial small subunit ribosomal RNA", at positions 30 to 526 of the family's 1533-position model. The record is from RNAcentral.